Molecule: long non-coding RNA, 1230 nt
Filed under: Oryctolagus cuniculus (rabbit)
Lineage: Eukaryota; Metazoa; Chordata; Mammalia; Lagomorpha; Leporidae
Description: lncRNA (ENSOCUG00000035513.1)
Source: RNAcentral
UUGGAAGGUGCUCGCUGGGGCCCUUGGCCAGAAAUCCUGCAGGCAGCAACACGAGGACACUCAUGCAGGCCCGAACGGGCCAGAGUCCGGCAGAUAGGCAGGGCGGAGGAGUCCCGGGGCAGGCACUGACUGCACACUCGCCUACGGGGUUUCUUUGCCCAUCCAGUGAGACGGGCUUUCGGGGAGGGAAUUUAAAGAUGUCAGCAAUUUAAGGGAAAAUAAAGAAGAAGCCGUGGCCUCUUGCCGAGCCAAGCGGUUACGGAGACGGGUUCCUCGGCCAUGCGUCCUGGGUCAAGCCACGGCUCUGCCUGGUCUGUAUGCCCCUGGGCGCUCAGCUUCCUCGGUUUUCCCAUCUGUACGAUCGGAACCAUCCGGCUCCUACUUCGCAGGGUUGCUGGGAGGGAGUGAGCUGGCAGAUGUGUGGUGACUGGGAGAGUUUCUGGCGGCUGGCGCCGUGGUGCAGAGGGUGAGGCUGCUGUUUGUGACUCCGGCAUCGCACAUUUACAGCGUCAGCUCAAGUCCCUGCUGCUCUACUCCUAAUCCAGCUCCCUGCUAACGUGCUCUGGGGAGCCAGCAGACGGUGGCCCAAGUACUGGGGUCCCCGCCACCCACGUGGGAGACCCGGAUGGAGUGCCUGGCUUCCGCCUGGCCCGGCUGUUGUGGCCAUUUGGAUGGAAAAUCUUUCUUUCCACUUUUCAGACACGUGAAUGACUCUUAAAAGGAGAAGGAGAAGUGCCUGGGAUAUACUGAGGCUUUAGAAGUGGGAGCUGUCAUUGUCGCCACCUUAGCAGUUCUUCCGGGACACUUAUUUAUUAUCUGUUCUCAGCGUUGCCUUGCAGGUCUCCCACGAGCCUCACUACACACGGGAGAGCCAGAGGGACUCCUGGCCCUUGAGCCAGCUCCCCAGUUUCCCAGGCCCCCUCGGCCGGACCCCCAGACUUGGGCCAGCCUGGCCCAUGGCCCUGACUGCAGCAGCUUUGUGCCCAAACAGAAGCCUACUCAGCCUCCCUCCAAGCCUGAGUCCAGCCUGACCCAGACAAAGCCCCACAUGUCAGGGGCAGAAGCCUGCUCAGCAGAGCCAGGGCCGGGGUCGCCAGGCCCUGCUGCUGCCAGGUGAGCGACUCCUGGGGCCCCCAGGGCACUUGUCAGAAACUCCCAGCCGAUACCAGGCUGAAAUCUGGGUCACUCUGUGCACGGGUCGGCCAUCCAUCAAACCGACAGUCAGCUAAG